CAGCUAAUAGUUUAUUAAAAUUUAAUCUUUGGAAGUUUAAGAUGUAUAAAUUAUACUUUGCUGA
Molecule: transfer RNA, 64 nt
Filed under: Opamata lipcowa
Lineage: Eukaryota; Metazoa; Arthropoda; Insecta; Hemiptera; Cicadellidae
Description: tRNA-Pro
Source: RNAcentral